ACCUUCUGUGGUGUAGUUGGUAGCAUCUUGACUUAGUAAUUCUAAGUCCUAGGUUCAAGUCCCGGUCGGGGUA
Molecule: non-coding RNA, 73 nt
Organism: Halocaridina rubra (Hawaiian volcano shrimp)
Lineage: Eukaryota; Metazoa; Arthropoda; Malacostraca; Decapoda; Atyidae
Source: the annotation of a GenBank genome assembly